RNAcentral lists this unclassified non-coding RNA (239 nucleotides) under fungal sp. Its description in RNAcentral is "partial internal transcribed spacer region". The stretch from base 1 to 46 matches the Rfam family "Eukaryotic small subunit ribosomal RNA", at positions 1786 to 1831 of the family's 1831-position model. The record is from RNAcentral. Lineage: Eukaryota; Fungi. RNAcentral also lists the same sequence under 1 other name.
AAGUCGUAACAAGGUUUCCGUAGGUGAACCUGCGGAAGGAUCAUUACAUGAUAUCACAGGGAGUUGGUACCACGAAAGUGCGCCAACUCUGUCUGCAUAUUAUACCCAUGAUUUUGCGUACCAUUUGUUUCCUUGGUGGGCUUGCCCACCAAUAGGACACCAAACAACCCUUUGUAAUUGCAGUCAGCGUCAGAAAAAUAUAAUAAUUACAACUUUUAACAACGGAUCUCUUGGUUCUG